This 403-nucleotide ribosomal RNA is filed under the name uncultured bacterium. Its description in RNAcentral is "partial 16S ribosomal RNA". It matches the Rfam family "Bacterial small subunit ribosomal RNA", at positions 30 to 526 of the family's 1533-position model. The record is from RNAcentral.
AUUGAACGCUGGCGGCAGGCCUAACACAUGCAAGUCGAGCGAGCGGCGGACGGGUGAGUAAUGUAUGGGGACUGCCCGAUAGAGGGGGAUAACUACUGGAAACGGUAGCUAAUACCGCAUACUAUCGGAUAACCCAUAUGGGAUUAGCUAGUAGGUGAGGUAAGGGCUCACCUAGGCGACGAUCCCUAGCUGGUCUGAGAGGAUGAUCAGCCACGCUGAGACUGAGACACGGCCCAGACUCCUACGGAGGCGGCAGUGGGGAAUAUUGGACAAUGGGCGAAAGCCUGAUGCUGCGAGGCCGCGUGGGGGAUGAGGGCUUUCGGGUUGUAAACCUCUUUCGCUAUCGAACGGGUAGGUGGAGAAGAAGCACCGGCUAACUACGUGCCAGCAGCCGCGGUAAUAC